GAUGAACGCUGGCGGCGUGCCUAAUACAUGCAAGUCGAGCGAACGGGCGAGAAGCUUGCUUCUCUGAUGUUAGCGGCGGACGGGUGAGUAACACGUGGAUAGCCUACCUAUAAGACUGGGAUAACUUCGGGAAACCGUAGCUAAUACCGGAUAAUAUUUUGAACCGCAUGGUUCAAAAGUGAAAGACGGUCUUGCUGUCACUUAUAGAUGGAUCCGCGCUGCAUUAGCUAGUUGGUAAGGUAACGGCUUACCAAGGCAACGAUGCAUAGCCGACCUGAGAGGGUGAUCGGCCACACUGGAACUGAGACACGGUCCAGACUCCUACGGGAGGCAGCAGUAGGGAAUCUUCCGCAAUGGGCGAAAGCCUGACGGAGCAACGCCGCGUGAGUGAUGAAGGUCUUCGGAUCGUAAAACUCUGUUAUUAGGGAAGAACAUAUGUGUAAGUAACUGUGCACAUCUUGACGGUACCUAAUCAGAAAGCCACGGCUAACUACGUG
RNAcentral lists this ribosomal RNA (497 nucleotides) under uncultured bacterium. RNAcentral's name for it is "partial 16S ribosomal RNA". It matches the Rfam family "Bacterial small subunit ribosomal RNA", at positions 28 to 507 of the family's 1533-position model. The record is from RNAcentral.